UGUAAGCCCGGGUUCUGUCGUGGACAAUCAUUCCUCUAGGCACACAAUUACUUGUAUGCUCAAGCAACCUACCCGAACUCUCGGCGGGCCACCGAUUGAGUUCCUAUUUGGUCUUGCUACGAGUGGAGUUUACUCUUGCUGCCGAAUGUUACCACCGGCACGGUGUGCUCUUACCACACCCUUUCACCCUUACCUUUUCCGAAGAAAACGGCGGUCUGCUCUCUGUUGCACUGGUCGUAGGCUCACGCCCCCCGGACGUUAUCCGGCACUCUGCCCUGUGUAGCCCGGACUUUCCUCCCCACAGAACCCGGCUUACAC
This 318-nucleotide non-coding RNA is filed under the name Pasteurellaceae bacterium I15. Lineage: Bacteria; Pseudomonadati; Pseudomonadota; Gammaproteobacteria; Pasteurellales; Pasteurellaceae. The record is from RNAcentral.